GCAUGCCGCGUGCAUGAUGAAGGCCUUCGGGUUGUAAACUGCUUUUGUACGGAACGAAACGGUGAGCUCUAAUACAGUUUGCUAAUGACGGUACCGUACCAAUAACCACCGGCUAACUACGUGCCAGCAGCCGCGGUAAUACUUAUGGUGCGAGCGUUAAUCGGAAUUACUGGGCGUAAAGCGUGCGCAAGCGGGGAUGUAAGACCGAUGUGAAAUCCCCGGGCUCAACCUGUUACCUGCAUUUGUGACUGCAUCGCUUGAGUACGGUAAAGGGGGAUGGAAUUCCGCGUGUAACAAUGAAAUGCGUAAAUAUGCGGAGGAACACCGAUGGCGAAGGCAAUCCCCUGGACCUGUACUGACGCUCAUGCACAAAAGCGUGGGGAGCAAACAGGAUUANAUACCCUGGUAAUCCACGCCCUAAACGAUGUCAACUGGUUGUUGGGUCUUCACUGACUCUNUAACGAAGCUA
This 469-nucleotide ribosomal RNA is filed under the name Comamonadaceae bacterium. Its description in RNAcentral is "bacterial SSU rRNA". It matches the Rfam family "Bacterial small subunit ribosomal RNA", at positions 392 to 854 of the family's 1533-position model. The record is from RNAcentral. Lineage: Bacteria; Pseudomonadati; Pseudomonadota; Betaproteobacteria; Burkholderiales; Comamonadaceae.